Molecule: transfer RNA, 74 nt
Filed under: Candidatus Diapherotrites archaeon CG08_land_8_20_14_0_20_30_16
Lineage: Archaea; Nanobdellati; Candidatus Iainarchaeota
Description: tRNA-Arg
Rfam family: tRNA
About the family: Transfer RNA (tRNA) molecules are approximately 80 nucleotides in length. Their secondary structure includes four short double-helical elements and three loops (D, anti-codon, and T loops).
Source: RNAcentral
GGCCCCAUAGCCUAGUUGGAUAAGGCGCCAGCCUUCUAAGCUGGAGAUCCAGGGUUCGAGUCCCUGUAGGGUCA